RNAcentral lists this ribosomal RNA (478 nucleotides) under uncultured bacterium. RNAcentral's name for it is "bacterial SSU rRNA". It matches the Rfam family "Bacterial small subunit ribosomal RNA", at positions 24 to 507 of the family's 1533-position model. The record is from RNAcentral.
UCAGAAUGAACGUUGGCGGCGUGGAUUAGGCAUGCAAGUCGUACGCAUAGCUUCGGCUAUGAGUGGCGCAAGGGUGAGUAAUGCGAAGGUAACCAACCCUGGUGUUGGGCAUAGCCGCGGGAAACUGCGGGUAAUUCCCAGCGACGUCACGAGAUGGCAUCAUCUUGUGACCAAAGGUGUGAUUCCGCUCUAGGACGGGCCUUCGUGGUAUUAGGUAGUUGGUGAGGUAACGGCUCACCAAGCCGACGAUGCCUACCGGGUGUGAGAGCAUGACCCGGCACACUGGAACUGAGACACUGUCCAGACACCUACGGGUGGCUGCAGUCGAGAAUCUUCGGCAAUGGGCGAAAGCCUGACCGAGCGACGCCGCGUGAGGGAUUGAAGGCCUUCGGGUUGUAAACCUCUUUCGUAGAGGAGGAAGGGGCCGUGAAGAACGGUCUUUGACCUAUUCUAGGAAGAAGCUUGGGCUAAGUUCGUG